Mustela lutreola (European mink) is the source of this 2464-nucleotide long non-coding RNA. RefSeq lists it as uncharacterized. The record is from RefSeq and is a predicted model, not a curated record. Lineage: Eukaryota; Metazoa; Chordata; Mammalia; Carnivora; Mustelidae. The transcript has 3 exons.
AAAGGGGGAGGAGCGGGGGGAGAAGGCGGAGCCCACGCGACCACGUGACCCAGGGCCGGGCCGGGGCUGCGCGCGCUGGGCGGCCGGCCGGCCUGAGCGCGCGCGCGUGCGUCCGCCGGCGCGCGCACCCGAGCUCCGGGACUCCCCGCGCGGCCCAGGCGGAGCAGGAAACACAACCACUGCAUUUGUGCUGAAGGAGAUGUAAAGCAAAAUCGGAGCAGUGUGUCUUCACAAGCGGGUCUCGAAGCUAGCCUGGCGGCAGGAGCCAGGCUGAGAUGAUCGUGUGAAGGGAGUGCUUGAAAAACACUCCUGGCUCCUUGCUGUUUCUGAAUGGCUGCAACCCUGAUCUCCCCUGCUUCCUACAAGUGCGGAGUUGAAUUCUUACUGUGUGCAAUUACUCUGUACUGGACAUUUCACUUUGUCUUGGCAGUCCCCUCUGGCUGCAUCCCUGCUUCUCCCUGGUGGUGGAGGCCAUAACAUCCACCAUUGAUUGUGGGUUCCAGCUGGCUCUAGAAGUGACCAUUCCGGGAGUUCAAUUGUGGCUCCCCAAAAGAUCUGUCAUAUUCGGGAAUGUGACCUUGUUUGUAAAGAGUCUUUGUAGAUACAAUUAAGUGAAGGUUCUCCAGAGGCAAUCAUCCUGGGUGUCUCAAGUCCAAUAAGUCUCAAGUCCCUGGGUGGGCCUCACGUCCAACAAGUGAUCCUAAUAAGAGACAUCUAGGGAGAAGGAGGAGGUGCUGUGAAGCCAGAGGCCAAAAAUGGGACCACAGAGUGAGGAAUGUCCAGAUCUACUGGAAGCUGGAAGAGGCAAGGAAGGAUUCUCCCCAUGAGUCUUUGAGGGGGAGCAUUGCCCUACUGAUACCUUGAUUUCAGACCUCUGGCUUCCCGAAGAGGGGAGAACACAUCUUGCUCAUUUCAACCCACUUGGUUUGUGGUAUCGGUUACGGUAGCCUGAAGACACUCCCAGAGAUGCUUUCUCCAUACCCUGUUUGUGUGUGUGAGACUGUGUCUGUGAGAGACAACCAUCCAAUUCAACACGCUUCCUUUGGACUCACCAAAUUUUGCUUUUUAUUAUUAUUAAGUCCAGAAAGCUUUGGGGUGUCCACAAGACAAAGCACCUCUUUUCUUCUCUCCCUUCCAGCCUUUUCUCUACCCAGACUGAACAGCACCCACCAAGGACCACCUCAGAGUGGCCACAUCCUGGCAUCUUCCAAUCAUUUCACAGGUUUUAAUUGUUCCAUAUCAUGAUUCCUUUAAAACAAACAGAAUUUAUGCCUGGUUGUUGCACACAGUUGCAACAGUUUCGGAGUAUAGUUUUGCCUUCUCCUGCUGGUUUCCUCCACCCACCUUCCCACACCCACCUACGGUGGCCACGAAUAAUCAAGGGCAGUACAGUGAUGAUCCUCUAGCCCUUCUUCCCAGGCAGAUAUUCUGCAAGCGGUAACUGACUGACAGGAAACAGAAGCUCUGGGGAUGCCAGGCUGGCUCAGUUGGUAGAAUGUGCGACCCUUGGUCUCGGGGUUGGGAGUUUGAGCCCCAUGUUGGGUGUGGAGAUGACUUAAAAAUAAAAUCUUAAAAAGAAAGAAAGAAAAGAAACAGAAUACACUUUCUGAAGCAGGCAGGGGUGGGUGCUUAGAGCCCACUGAUCACUUCUCUGAGGAUCUGUCUGAAGAAUGUUCAGGACACAAGGAGCAAAGGUCAUUUGGAAAGUUCUGAACUAAGGUAAGGCAGAAUUAAGGAGAUGCUCACUCUCGGGGUUAUGCAUACCUUGAAUCUUCAGGUUGAGUGGAGAAGACCCCAUCAAUGGCAGAGGAGGAGGUCCCAGAUCUAUUUGUGGCUUCUGGGUGUUUCAGAAGGAGGAAGAAGCUGCAACACUUAUUUCCGGCUACAUACAUCAGUCCCACUGUGCUUGAAAGCCUCCAAUGUCUUCCCAUUUCAUCUACAGUGAAAGCCAAAGCUCUUGGUGGCCCCACACAGUCUGCUCUCCAUGCUGUCCCUGACAUGAUUCCUCUCUGAUCCCAGCUCCCGGUCACUGGCCCUAGCACUUACAUGACUCCAGUCACAUUGCCCUCCUGCCUUUUCCUUCAACACACCAAGUGUGCUCUACCUCAGGGCCUUUGCACUUGUUGCUCUCUCUGUGUGUGCAAUGCUUUUUUCAGGGAUCCAGAAGACUUGCUCCCUUAUUUCCUCCAGACGUCUGCUCAGGUGCCACCAGAUCAGAAAGGCCUUCCCUCACUAUUUUAUGGGAACAGUUCUGGCCAACCCCAUCACGCAUUGUACCCCUGACACCGCUUUCACUUCCUGUGUAGCACUGAUUGCCAGCUGACUUCGUAGCUUCAGACAGCCAGACUGCUGCAAGUUUUGUGAGAAAUGGUACAAAAACAAACCAGAUGCUUUCUCCCACUGAUUUCAUUGAGUACUGGCUGCUGAGUGCAGGAUCUGCUCUGUUGAUUUUGGUUCCCAUACG